GGACCAGGCUAGGAGUCUAACUGAUCUGGGACCAGGCUAGGAGACUAACUGAUCUGGGACCAGGCGAGGAGACUAACUGAUCUGGGACCAGGCUAGGAGACUAACUGAUGUGAAACUAGCUCUUAGUUCCAAACUGCACCCUAUUCCCUAUAUAGGGCCCAUAGGGCUCUGGUCUAAAGUAGUACACUAAGUAGGGUAUAGUGUUCCAUUUGGGAUGCAGUGGGGUAGUUUUACGUUUAUCGGGAGACGUGCAAAAACCAAACAGGACAGACGGUUAAGAGACACGUUGCCCUACCAAUCAUAUCAACACACGUCAGGAGACCAGUCUUUCACACAAGAAGAGUCAAACAAAGUUCAUCAGUUGCAUAAUAAGAUUAACACAUAUAUUUUUGUUAUUAUGUGAAAACUUUAAUUAAAAAAGACAACAGAAUCCAGGAUCUACACUACUACAGCCCCUAAACCGUCUCUUCCUCACACUGGUUUUACACUGCCCCUUUAACACGUUCAUAACAUCCUUGUUGACUUGCUGCCUGUCUGUCCACACCUGGGUCGUGUUCAUUAGGGCACAUACGUUUCAAAAACAUUGUGCAACACAAAAAGGCAAAUAGUACUCCCUGUUUCUGUCCAUUUUGGUGCAUGAUGAACAUGACAUCGCUUCAAAAAGGCUUUUGGGGAAAAGUGUUUCAUAUCAAAUCAGCCUACUAGCUUUAUAAAAGGUUAGACAGGUUAUCCUCUCUCAUUUAAUACAACCAGAGAGAGAGAGAGAGAGAGAGAGAGGACUUCUCCCACUACUCUACCAUUUAGAGAGAGAGACUUCCUAGCAGCCCCAGCUCCCCAACCUCACUAGAGGCUGUUGUGUCUGGUAGUGUCAGAGACAAUAUGACCAGUCAGAGACAAUAUGACCAGUCAGAGACAAUAUGACUAGGCAGAGACAAUAUGACCAAGCAGAGACAGGACGGAGACAAUAUGACCAGGCAGAGACAGGACAGAGACAAUAUGACCAGGCAGAGACAGGACAGAGACAAUAUGACCAGACAGAGACAAUAUGACCAGUCAGAGACAGGACAGAGACAAUAUGACCAGUCAGAGACAGGACAGAGACAAUAUGACCAGUCAGAGACAAUAUGACCAGUCAGAGACAAUAUGACCAGUCAGAGACAGGACAGAGACAAUAUGACCAGUCAGAGACAGGACAGAGACAAUAUGACCAGUCAGAGAUAAUAUGUUCAGUCAGAGACAGGACAGUGAAAAUAUGACCAGUCAGAGACAAUAUGACCAGUCAGAGACAAUAUGACCAGUCAGAGACAGGACAGAGACAAUAUGACCAGUCAGAGAUAAUAUGAUCAGUCAGAGACAGGACAGUGACAAUAUGACCAGUCAGAGACAAUAUGACCAGUCAGAGACAAUAUGACCAGUCAGAGACAGGACAGAGACAAUAUGACCAGUCAGAGAUAAUAUGAUCAGUCAGAGACAGGACAGUGACAAUAUGACCAGUCAGAGACAAUAUGACCAGUCAGAGACAAUAUGACCAGUCAGAGACAGGACAGAGACAAUAUGACCAGUCAGAGACAAUAUGACCAGUCAGAGACAGGGCAGAGACAAUAUGACCAGUCAGAGACAAUAUGACCAGUCAGAGACAGGACAGAGACAAUAUGACCAGGCAGAGACAAUAUGACCAGUCAGAGACAAUAUGACCAGUCAGAGACAAUAUGACCAGUCAGAGACAGGACAGAGACAAUAUGACCAGUCAGAGACAAUAUGACCUGUCAGAGACAGGACAGAGACAAUAUGACCAGUCAGAGACAAUAUGACCAGUCAGAGACAAUAUGACCAGUCAGAGACAAUAUGACCAGUCAGAGACAGGACAGAGACAAUAUGACCAGUCAGAGACAAUAUGACCAGUCAGAGACAGGACAGAGACAAUAUGACCAGUCAGUGACAAUAUGACCAGUCAGAGACAAUAUGACCAAUCAGAGACAGGACAGAGACAAUAUGACCAGUCAGAGACAAUAUGACCAGUCAGAGACAGGACAGAGACAAUAUGACCAGUCAGAGACAGGACAGAGAUAAUAUGACCAGUCAGAGACAGGGCAGUCAAGUUGUUUAACAUGUCCAAAUGAUAGGUAGAGGAUGAAACGAUUAAUGAACUAGCGAAGUAGAGUUGAGAAAGUUAAAACAAAACAUUGGGAUUGUGAAUUUAAAAAAAAAACCUAACCAAAAAAUAAAUAAAAAAAUUAUUUAAUUUAGCAUCUGUCCUAACCCAAAAUCAGAAAUAACUUUCUCUGUUAGCUGCGCACCUCUGGGGCCCUGCGCACCUCUGGGGCCCUGCGCACCUCUGGGGCCCUGCGCACCUCUGGGGCCCUGCGCACCUCUGGGGCCCUACAUUGUCCUGCUUCUGCUCCAUGUGCUCUCUGCCUGUUCCAUAGCAACGGCUCCGCUCGGAUGAUGAGAGAGAGACAGAGCUUUCAGCCUCUUUUUCCUUCACAAAAAAAAAAAAAAAAAAAA
Oncorhynchus mykiss (rainbow trout) is the source of this 2505-nucleotide non-coding RNA. NCBI's taxonomy places the organism in Eukaryota, Metazoa, Chordata, Actinopteri, Salmoniformes, Salmonidae. The record is from RefSeq and is a predicted model, not a curated record.